This 488-nucleotide long non-coding RNA is filed under the name Homo sapiens (human). RNAcentral's name for it is "non-protein coding lnc-LRRTM1-13:1". Lineage: Eukaryota; Metazoa; Chordata; Mammalia; Primates; Hominidae. The record is from RNAcentral.
GAUAAUACAAAAACAGCUUGAUUGGUUACAGCUCAGCAUUUCCUUAUGUGGGUGUGAUGUGGUGAGGCAUUGCCUUAUAUAGACAUAUUCUAUCAAUUGAAAGUCUGUGAUUGGCUGAAACUCAAUUGACAUGAUUGGCUUGAACAGCUUCAGUAGGAUUGGUAUCAGUUUGUCUUUGUAUACCUGUUAAAAUGCAGCUAUGAAUCUGCGGUUGUAUGUUUCCAGGAAUUUAUCCAUUUCCUCUAGAUUUCCUAGUUUUUGUCCAUAGAGAAGCACAUAGAAAUAUCUGAUCUUUGUGUUACUGUGGUAUCAGUUGUAACGUCACCAUUAUCAUUUCUGAAUGUGCUUAUUUGAAUUUUCUGUUGACCUUUUCAUAUUGUGUUCUGAGAAUUCUUUAUACAUUCUGCCUAUAUGCCAUGGAGUACUAUGCAGCCAUAAAAAGAAUGAGAUCAUCUUCUACUUAUAAGUGGGAGCUGAAUGAUGAGAAC